UUCCGGUUGAUCCUGCCGGAAGCCACCGCUAUCGGGGUCCGACUAAGCCAUGCAAGUCGAGGGCCGCCCGGCUAUGGGGGCGGCCCGGCGGACGGCUCAGUAACACGUGGGUAACCUACCCUCGGGACGGGGAUAGCCCCAGGGAAACUGGGGCUAAUCCCCGAUAGGCGGGGCGGCCUGGAACGGUCCUCCGCCGAAAGGGGCCCGGGCCCAUGCCGCCCGGGUCCGCCCGAGGAUGGGCCUGCGGCCGAUUAGGUAGUUGGCGGGGUAACGGCCCGCCAAGCCGAUAAUCGGUACGGGCGGUGAGAGCCGGAGCCCGGAGACGGGGACUGAGACAAGGCCCCGGGCCCUACGGGGCGCAGCAGGCGCGAAACCUCCGCAAUGCGGGCAACCGCGACGGGGGGACCCCGAGUGCCGUCGGGGCAAAGCUCCGGCGGCUGUACCGGGGUGUAAAAAGCCCCGGGUAGAAAGCGGCGGGCAAGACCGCUGCCAGCCGCCGCGGUAAUAGCGGCGCCGCAAGUGGUGGCCGCUUUUAUUGGGCCUAAAGGGGCCGUAGCCGGUCCCGUGGGUCCCCGCCGAAAGCCCGCGGCUUAACCGCGGGAGUCGGCGGGGAAACUGCGGGACUUGGGACCGGGAGAGGCCGGAGGUACCCCGGAGUAGGGGUGAAAUCCUGUCAUCCCGGGGGGACCGCCAGUGGCGAAGGCGUCCGGCUGGAACGGGUCCGACGGUGAGGGCCGAAAGCCGGGGGAGCAAACCGGAUUAGAUACCCGGGUAGUCCCGGCUGUAAACGAUGCGGACUAGGUGUUGGGGCGGCCACGAGCCGCCCCAGUGCCGUAGGGAAGCCGUUAAGUCCGCCGCCUGGGGAGUACGGCCGCAAGGCUGAAACUUAAAGGAAUUGGCGGGGGAGCACCACAACCGGUGGAGCCUGCGGUUUAAUUGGAUUCAACGCCGGAAACCUUACCGGGGGCGACAGCAGGAUGAAGGCCAGGUUGACGACCUUGCCGGACGAGCUGAGAGGAGGUGCAUGGCCGCCGUCAGCUCGUGCCGUGAGGUGUCCUGUUAAGUCAGGCAACGAGCGAGACCCA
Molecule: ribosomal RNA, 1085 nt
Filed under: uncultured euryarchaeote
Lineage: Archaea; Methanobacteriati; Methanobacteriota
Description: bacterial SSU rRNA
Rfam family: Archaeal small subunit ribosomal RNA
Source: RNAcentral